GACGAACGCUGGCGGCGUGCCUAAUACAUGCAAGUAGAACGCACAGGAUGCACCGUAGUUUACUACACCGUAUUCUGUGAGUUGCGAACGGGUGAGUAACGCGUAGGUAACCUGCCUGGUAGCGGGGGAUAACUAUUGGAAACGAUAGCUAAUACCGCAUAAGAACAUUUACUGCAUGGUAGAUGUUUAAAAGGUGCAAAUGCAUCACUACCAGAUGGACCUGCGUUGUAUUAGCUAGUAGGUGAGGUAACGGCUCACCUAGGCGACGAUACAUAGCCGACCUGAGAGGGUGAUCGGCCACACUGGGACUGAGACACGGCCCAGACUCCUACGGGAGGCAGCAGUAGGGAAUCUUCGGCAAUGGGGGGAACCCUGACCGAGCAACGCCGCGUGAGUGAAGAAGGUUUUCGGAUCGUAAAGCUCUGUUGUUAAGGAAGAGCGAGUGUGAGAAUGGAAAGUUCAUACUGUGACG
Molecule: ribosomal RNA, 472 nt
Filed under: Streptococcus intermedius
Lineage: Bacteria; Bacillati; Bacillota; Bacilli; Lactobacillales; Streptococcaceae
Description: bacterial SSU rRNA
Rfam family: Bacterial small subunit ribosomal RNA
Source: RNAcentral